UCCUACGGGACGCAGCAGUGAGGAAUAUUGGUCAAUGGGCGCGAGCCUGAACCAGCCAAGUCGCGUGAGGGAUGACGGCCCUACGGGUUGUAAACCUCUUUUGCCGGGGAGCAACGGGCGCCACGUGUGGCGCCACUGAGAGUACCCGGAGAAAAAGCAUCGGCUAACUCCGUGCCAGCAGCCGCGGUAAUACGGAGGAUGCGAGCGUUAAUCGGAAUUACUGGGCGUAAAGCGCUCGUAGGCGGUAUGUCAAGUCAAGGGUGAAAUCCCCGCGCUCAACGUGGGAACUGCCUUUGAAACUGGCA
This 305-nucleotide ribosomal RNA is filed under the name uncultured bacterium. Its description in RNAcentral is "bacterial SSU rRNA". It matches the Rfam family "Bacterial small subunit ribosomal RNA", at positions 337 to 638 of the family's 1533-position model. The record is from RNAcentral.